RNAcentral lists this ribosomal RNA (924 nucleotides) under uncultured bacterium. Its description in RNAcentral is "bacterial SSU rRNA". It matches the Rfam family "Bacterial small subunit ribosomal RNA", at positions 8 to 905 of the family's 1533-position model. The record is from RNAcentral.
AGAGUUUGAUCAUGGCUCAGAAUCAACGCUGGCGGCGUGCCUCAGACAUGCAAGUCGAACGCGAAAGAAGCCUUCGGGCUUCAAGUAGAGUGGCGUCCGGGUGAGUAACACGUAGGUAAUCUACCUUCGGGUGGGGAAUAACCCAGGGAAACUUGGGCUAAUACCGCAUAAUGCAGCGGCACCACAUGGUGACAGUUGUUAAAGCGGGGGAUUUUCGGACCUCGCGCCUGAAGAGGAGCCUGCGGCAGAUUAGCUAGUUGGUAAGGUAACGGCUUACCAAGGCGACGAUCUGUAGCCGGCCUGAGAGGGCGGUCGGCCACACUGACACUGACAUACGGGUCAGACUCCUACGGGAGGCAGCAGUCGGGAAUUUUGGGCAAUGGGCGAAAGCCUGACCCAGCAACGCCGCGUGAAGGAUGAAAUCCUUCGGGAUGUAAACUUCGCAAGAAUGGGAAGAAUGAACGAGCGCUAACACCGUUCGUGAUGACGGUACCAUUUGUAAGCUCCGGCUAACUCCGUGCCAGCAGCCGCGGUAAUACGGGGGGAGCAAGCGUUGUUCGGAUUUACUGGGCGUAAAGGGCGCGUAGGCGGUCAGCGCAAGUCAGUUGUGAAAUCUCCGGGCUUAACUCGGAACGGUCAACUGAUACUGCGCGGCUAGAGUGCGGAAGGGGCAACUGGAAUUCUCGGUGUAGCGGUGAAAUGCGUAGAUAUCGAGAGGAACACCUGCGGCGAAAGGCGGGUUGCUGGGCCGACACUGACGCUGAUGUGCGAAAGCCAGGGGAGCGAACGGGAUUAGAUACCCCGGUAGUCCUGGCCUUAAACGAUGGAUGCUUGGUGUCUGGAGUUUUAUAGUCUCCGGGUGCCGCAGCUAACGCGUUAAGCAUCCCGCCUGGGGGAGUACGGGUCGCAAAACUGAAACCCAAA